This 445-nucleotide ribosomal RNA is filed under the name uncultured bacterium. RNAcentral's name for it is "SSU rRNA". It matches the Rfam family "Bacterial small subunit ribosomal RNA", at positions 26 to 518 of the family's 1533-position model. The record is from RNAcentral.
AGGAUGAACGCUGGCGGCGUGCCUAAGACAUGCAAGUCGAGUGGGUUUAGACCCACGGCGAACGGGUGAGUAAUACCUAGGAACUUUCUUUAAGUCGAGAAUAUCCUUCCGAAAGGAAGUGCAAUACUCGAUGUGAUCGCAAGAUUAAAGUCGCAAGACGCUUAAAGUGAGGCCUGGGCACCAUCAGCUAGUUGGUAAGGUAACGGCUUACCAAGGCUACGACGGUUAGGGGCCCCGAGAGGGGAGACCCCCCACACUGGGACUGCGACACGGCCCAGACUCCUACGGGAGGCAGCAGUUUGGAAUUUUGGACAAUGGGCGAAAGCCUGAUCCAGCGACGCCGCGUGGACGAAGAAGGUCUUCGGAUCGUAAAGUCCUUUUGGCAGGGAAAAAUUUUGAUUGUACCUGCAGAAUAAGAGGUUGCUAACUCUGUGCCAGCAGCCGC